Molecule: long non-coding RNA, 1101 nt
Organism: Teleopsis dalmanni
Lineage: Eukaryota; Metazoa; Arthropoda; Insecta; Diptera; Diopsidae
Exons: 3
Source: RefSeq, a predicted model, not a curated record
AUUAAAUAUUUUUAUUUGCUGUGUUGCUCAUUAUUAAUUUUGAAACUUUUAUAUUAAAUCUGACAUUCCUUUUAGCUUUAAUAAACACAUACUCGUGCUUGUAUAUCCUCUGAAGUUUUGUAUUUCAGCGCGUAAUAAAAUAUUUUCUAGUAUCUAGAUACUUUCUGGUUUUGUAUUUGUGCUCAUAUAUUUUGACAAAGUAGGUGAGUUGGCGGCAAGGUGGUAAACGUCGCAAACCUGGCAAAUAUGGCAAGCAUGGAAAACAUGGAAAACAAGUUGGCGAGGGGAUAAAGUGGCAAAGUGGCAAAGUUGCGGUAUUAACGGUGUUAGCAUUGAAGGUGGUUGUGUCGAUGAUGCUUCUGCGAGCAUAAAUUUAUUUUGGUUUCUUCCUAGUGCGAGUGACGCUGGUCUACCGAUGUGCCAAUGUGCUGAUGUGUUCGAUGUACUAAGUUUUGAUGUUUAAACUGCGCUCCUUUUUGGGUAACCAUAAUUAAAAUAAUUUACCAUUUUCGCCUUUCUUUUUUUUUUUUUUUGGUCUCUUCGUAAAAUUACUUUGAUGAUGUACGAAAAAAAUGUCUGGCUAGAAUUAUUUAAAUGUUUCUUUAAAAACACACAAGGACGUAUUUCGAACUUUGGAGUAAUACGUGGGACUUAAUAUGGAACUAUUUAUUGAUCACUGGGAGAACAUGGACUGAAAGUACGUUUUCAAGGCUUAAAAGAAUAGUAACAAUUUAAUCUCAUGGUUCUAUUGGUUACGAGUACCGAUAACAUGAUAUUAAAACAGAAGAUUAGCGUUUAUUGUGCUGCGCCUAAAUUAUUGGUAUUUAUCGAAACCAUAAGAAGUCCUAUCUGCAAUAUCUUUUAUUAAUGGACAUGCCUAUUAAAUAAAUUUUUAUCGGAAAUAAUAUUUAGUUACAUAGACUUUUUGAAGAGGACUAAGAGACCCUCAUCAUUGACAACGGAAGAUCUAUGCAUCACUUAGCAGAAAAGAAAAGUAUCAUCAUCAUCAACUUUUUGAAGCUAAUUAUUGCGGCUAUCUAACUAAAUAAAACUUAUAAAUUUAUAAAGCUUAUAAAAAUUCAAAAAUGUAUAAUUGGUAUA